UAGGGAAUCUUCCGCAAUGGGCGAAAGCCUGCCGGAGCAACGCCGCGUGAGUGAUGAAGGUCUUCGGAUCGUAAAACUCUGUUAUUAGGGAAGAACAAAUGUGUAAGUAACUAUGCACGUCUUGACGGUACCUAAUCAGAAAGCCACGGCUAACUACGUGCCAGCAGCCGCGGUAAUACGUAGGUGGCAAGCGUUAUCCGGAAUUAUUGGGCGUAAAGCGCGCGUAGGCGGUUUUUUAAGUCUGAUGUGAAAGCCCAUGGCUCAACCGUGGAGGGUCAUUGGAAACUGGAAAACUUGUGUGCAGAAGAGGAAAGUGGACGUCCAUGUGUAGCGGUGAAAUGGGCAGAGAUAUGGAGGAACACCAGUGGGGAAGGCGACUUUCUGGUCUGUAACUGACGCUGAUGUGCGAAAGCGUGGGGAUCAAACAGG
This 429-nucleotide ribosomal RNA is filed under the name Actinomycetes bacterium. RNAcentral's name for it is "Actinobacteria bacterium partial 16S ribosomal RNA". It matches the Rfam family "Bacterial small subunit ribosomal RNA", at positions 355 to 776 of the family's 1533-position model. Lineage: Bacteria; Bacillati; Actinomycetota; Actinomycetes. The record is from RNAcentral.